GGGAGUGGGCGCGUGAUCGCUUCGCUGGCAAAGAGCGGAGAGGAAAGUCCGGACUCCACAGGGCGGGAUGGUUCGUAACACGAACGCCGGGCGACCGGGGGAAAGCGCCACAGAAAACAAACCGCCCGCCAGUUCCCUGGCGGGUAAGGGUGAAACGGUGCGGUAAGAGCGCACCGCCCGGCUGGCGACAGUCGGGGCACGGCAAGCCCCAUCCGGAGCAAGACCAAAUAAGAAGACGUUUGAGGGCGGCCCGUCCGAUGUCUUCGGGUAGGUUGCACGAGACGCCGGGCGACUGACGUCCCAGUUAAAUGAUCACGGCUCGCAUGAGUACAGAAUCCGGCUUACAACCCACUCCCGCUU
This 360-nucleotide RNase P RNA is filed under the name Desulfobulbaceae bacterium. RNAcentral describes it as "RNase P RNA component class A". It matches the Rfam family "Bacterial RNase P class A". From Rfam's summary of the family: Ribonuclease P (RNase P) is a ubiquitous endoribonuclease, found in archaea, bacteria and eukarya as well as chloroplasts and mitochondria. Its best characterised activity is the generation of mature 5'-ends of tRNAs by cleaving the 5'-leader elements of precursor-tRNAs. The record is from RNAcentral. Lineage: Bacteria; Pseudomonadati; Thermodesulfobacteriota; Desulfobulbia; Desulfobulbales; Desulfobulbaceae.